This 274-nucleotide ribosomal RNA is filed under the name uncultured bacterium. RNAcentral's name for it is "partial 16S ribosomal RNA". It matches the Rfam family "Archaeal small subunit ribosomal RNA", at positions 473 to 747 of the family's 1478-position model. The record is from RNAcentral.
AAACCAGCACCUCAAGUGGUCAGGAUGAUUAUUGGGCCUAAAGCAUCCGUAGCCUGAUCUGUAAGUUUUCGGUUAAAUCUGUACGCUCAACGUACAGGCCGCCGGGAAUACUGCAGAUCUAGGGAGUGGGAGAGGUAGACGGUACUCGGGAGGAAGUGGUAAAAUGCUUUGAUCUCUCGAUGACCACCUGUGGCGAAGGCGGUCUACCAGAACACGUCCGACGGUGAGGGAUGAAAGCUGGGGGAGCAAACCGGAUUAGAAACCCUGGUAGUCC